UAGCAAAUCUGUGAGCAAAUUGAUAAUAUGACACACUUUUCCUGGGACUUUGAUCUGAUGACACACCUUUCUUUUAGUUUGAUUGGAUGACACACCUUUGAGUGAUAGCUGGAUUAAAUGACACAAAUUAAGUUUUUCUCUCCCUUUCUAGGUAUGGACCCCACGUCUUAUUUUAUAGGACGAUUUUGCCCCCGGUCGUUUCACAUCGAUCGUUCCUGGAAGAUCCAAACACGCCUCGCUCGAUCAGUACAUGCAUGCAGAGGCUCCAUGCAUCACGCGUACAUAUAUUAGCUCUACGUAUGGAACAAGGUGAUCCUGCUGCAUGCUUCCCGGCGCCUUAUCUCGCCGUGGCUCCUUCCCGGCGCGCCGCCACCUCGCUGUCUCCUUCCCGUCGCCGGCACGGCCACGCCGUUACCGGAGCAUACCAUCACUGGUAGCUUUGUAGCUAUUCGAUGUUGUUGUACGAGUCGAUGGACGAGGUGUCGACAGGGCGGAACGGUUGGAGCGUUGCCGGAUGAGAAGAAACGGACAAGAGGCGGCGGGGAACUGGCAGCACACGGGGAAGAGGCAUGGCCGGGCCGUGCUUGGCACUAGCAGCGCAGGUUGGAGGAAGCAGGAGCGGUGGGGCGGUGCUAGGCACCGGAGGCACGGGUGGGAGGAAGCAGGAGUGGCGGGGCGGUGCUGGGCACCGGCGGCGCGGGUGGGAGGAAGCAGGAGCUGUGGUGCAAGGAAGCAGGAGCAGCGGCGCAGCGGCUUUCGUUCGCUCUUCAAGGAACAAUCGAUCAGUUCAAUCGAGCCAGGCAGGUGAAACGACCAGGGGCAAAAUCGUCCUACAAAAUGUGACGUGGGGGCCCAUACCUAAAAAAGGAGAGAAAAACUUAUGUGUCAUUUAAUCCAGUUAUGAAUCAAAGAUGUGUCAUCUAAUCAAACCAAAAGAAAGAUGUGUCAUCAGACCAAAGUUCCAGGAAAAGUGUCAUAUUAUCAAUUUGCUCCAAAUAUGUGGGGCAUGCAGAUAGGUCCCUCCAAUCCAUUUUUCUGGUCUCAUCUCCAAAUUUUGGUUAAUUUCAAUUUCUAAGCCCACUACUAUUAGUUCCCUCCUUGCCUGUGCAGCCGUCCUCUCCGUUGGUCCUUGAUGAUUUGGUUUCUCACCAACUAAUGCUAAGUGCACAUGCAGACAUGCAUGUAUGGUUUCUCACUAAUUAAUGUGGAACUAAGGAAAAAAGAGGAAUUUUAGGGGUAAAGAUUCAGAUCUAUUGGUCUAGGUUUUUUGAGAACCUCUACGUUGGAAGAUAUUAUAGGAUGGGGCUAAUAAAAUGAAUGAGCGGGAGGAUGAUAUAUGGUUGGGUAGAUGCGGAUUACCACCGUCCCUGUUCCUCCUUCCAACAGAAAACCAUGCAAGCAUAUAGUGUUGCAUGCUACUGAUUUGCUCAGCCCCGAUAGCAUACAUGUCUACGUUACAGGGAUCAGAUUAUUCAGGCCCUUGGCACCUGCCUUCGCCCAGGUGAGCGCUUCGUCCUGGAUAUUAGGAUAAUCCUGACUUGGAGUUAGUCUCGAGUCAGUUGGUUAGCCGGGUUGUGUGUGGCUAAGUCUAUAGUUGAGUGAAAACCGGAUCAAGUAGCUGUGUUGCUUGGCCGGUGCGUUACAUGAGACGUGGGUGCGUGUGCAUGGCGUGGUUAGUUAGUGCGUGCUACGUGCAUGGAGUUAGUGGCCGGGUGUGCCGGCUGGGUUGAGUGUGCACGGGUAUAAAAUCCCCUAUGUAUUGAUCGUUGCGAAGUAAUGAGCCGAGCCUAGGAGAGCCAGAAGAUGAGUGUGGUCUCCGUCAGAACCGUGGUAUGCGCCCGGUCGGCAGGAGAGAGAGCUCCCCUGGGUAGGCGUCGGUUUGUUGCCGAGCCAUGGCGUUCGUGCGCCGGAAUAUGUUGUAUGUGCGGCAAUGGCGUUUGUGCGCCGAAAACCACCACCGUGUCCUGUGUCUCUUCUUUCUUCUACCUUCGUUCGUUCGUGCGAGGGAGAGAGAGAGGGAGGGAGCUGGGCACCGGCGCAAAGGGCAAGCAAGGGCUCGACGCCAACACUGGAUAGUGUACCAGGUCCGAGAGGAACAGUUGUCGGUUAUCAAAGGUGCAGGCAUUGCGAUGUUUCCAGAUA
Non-coding RNA from Triticum urartu, 2142 nucleotides. Lineage: Eukaryota; Viridiplantae; Streptophyta; Magnoliopsida; Poales; Poaceae. The record is from RefSeq and is a predicted model, not a curated record.